RNAcentral lists this transfer RNA (99 nucleotides) under Nostoc sp. PCC 7120 = FACHB-418. RNAcentral describes it as "Nostoc sp. PCC 7120 tRNA-Ile". RNAcentral also lists the same sequence under 1 other name. Lineage: Bacteria; Bacillati; Cyanobacteriota; Cyanophyceae; Nostocales; Nostocaceae. The record is from RNAcentral.
UGCUGCUGGGACACGAGGUUUUGGUGCCAUCUUCCUUGAUGUGGAAGAUGCAGCUAGCAGUAGUAUCGAAUACUUUGGUACAACGACCAAAGGCGAUAA